This 467-nucleotide ribosomal RNA is filed under the name uncultured bacterium. RNAcentral's name for it is "partial 16S ribosomal RNA". It matches the Rfam family "Bacterial small subunit ribosomal RNA", at positions 28 to 507 of the family's 1533-position model. The record is from RNAcentral.
GAUGAACGCUGACAGCAUGCUUAACACAUGCAAGUCAACUUGAAUUUGGGUUUUUAACUUAGGUUUGGGUGGCGGACGGGUGAGUAACGCGUAAAGAACUUGCCUCACAGCUAGGGACAACAUUUGGAAACGAAUGCUAAUACCCAAUAUUAUGAUAAUAGGGCAUCCUAUAAUUAUGAAAGCUAUAAUCGCUGUUAGAGAGCUUUGCGUCACAUUAGCUAGUUGGAGAGGUAACGGCUCACCACGGCGAUGAUGGGUAGCCGGCCUGAGAGGGUGAUCGGCCACAAGGGGCCAGAGACACGAGCCUUACUCAUACGGGAGGCAGCAGUGGGGAAUAUUGGACAACGGACCGCGAGUCUGAUGCAGCUAUUCUGUGUGCAAGAUGAAGUUUUUCGGAAUGUAAAGUGCUUUCAGUUGGGAAGAAACAAAUGACGGUACCAACAGAAGAAGUGACGGCUAAAUACGUG